RNAcentral lists this ribosomal RNA (835 nucleotides) under Byssosphaeria musae. RNAcentral describes it as "partial large subunit ribosomal RNA". It matches the Rfam family "Eukaryotic large subunit ribosomal RNA", at positions 76 to 932 of the family's 3401-position model. The record is from RNAcentral. Lineage: Eukaryota; Fungi; Ascomycota; Dothideomycetes; Pleosporales; Melanommataceae.
UGCCCCAGUAACGGCGAGUGAAGCGGCAAUAGCUCAAAUUUGAAAUCUGGCUCCUUUGGGGUCCGAGUUGUAAUUUGGAGAGGGUGCUUUGGUGUUGGCAGCAGCCUAAGUUCCUUGGAACAGGUCAUCAUAGAGGGUGAGAAUCCCGUAUGUGGCUGAUUGUCUUCACCGUGUAAAGCCCCUUCGACGAGUCGAGUUGUUUGGGAAUGCAGCUCUAAAUGGGAGGUAAAUUUCUUCUAAAGCUAAAUACUGGCCAGAGACCGAUAGCGCACAAGUAGAGUGAUCGAAAGAUGAAAAGCACUUUGGAAAGAGAGUCAAAAAGCACGUGAAAUUGUUGAAAGGGAAGCGCUUGCAGCCAGACGUGCCUGUAGUUGCUCAUCUGGGGAUUUCCCCAGUGCACUCUUCUAUGGGCAGGCCAGCAUCAGUCUGGGCGGUUGGAGAAAGGCCUGUGUCACGUAGCUGCUUUCGGGCAGUGUUAUAGGGCAGGUGGAAUACGACCAGCCUGGACUGAGGUCCGCGCAUCUGCUAGGAUGCUGGCGUAAUGGCUGUAAGCGGCCCGUCUUGAAACACGGACCAAGGAGUCUAACAUCUAUGCGAGUGUUUGGGUGUCAAGCCCGAGCGCGCAAUGAAAGUGAACGGAGGUGGGAACCCUCGGGUGCACCAUCGACCGAUCCUGAUGUCUUCGGAUGGAUUUGAGUAAGAGCAUAGCUGUUGGGACCCGAAAGAUGGUGAACUAUGCCUGAAUAGGGUGAAGCCAGAGGAAACUCUGGUGGAGGCUCGCAGCGGUUCUGACGUGCAAAUCGAUCGUCAAAUUUGGGCAUAGGGGCGAAAGACU